CGCAAUGGGCGAAAGCCUGACGGAGCAACGCCGCGUGAGGGACGAAGGCCUCUGGGCUGUAAACCUCUUUUCUCAAGGAAGAAGAUAUGACGGUACUUGAGGAAUAAGCCACGGCUAAUUCCGUGCCAGCAGCCGCGGUAAUACGGGAGUGGCAAGCGUUAUCCGGAAUUAUUGGGCGUAAAGCGUCCGCAGGCGGCCUUUCAAGUCUGCUGUUAAAGCGUGGAGCUUAACUCCAUUAUGGCAGUGGAAACUGAUCGGCUUGAGUAUGGUAGGGGCAGAGGGAAUUCCCGGUGUAGCGGUGAAAUGCGUAGAUAUCGGGAAGAACACCAGUGGCGAAGGCGCUCUGCUGGGCCAUUACUGACGCUCAUGGACGAAAGCCAGGGGAGCGUAAGGGAUUAGAUACCCCUGUAGUCCUGGCCGU
RNAcentral lists this ribosomal RNA (421 nucleotides) under uncultured bacterium. RNAcentral's name for it is "bacterial SSU rRNA". It matches the Rfam family "Bacterial small subunit ribosomal RNA", at positions 367 to 803 of the family's 1533-position model. The record is from RNAcentral.